RNAcentral lists this non-coding RNA (28 nucleotides) under Bombyx mori (domestic silkworm). The record is from RNAcentral. Lineage: Eukaryota; Metazoa; Arthropoda; Insecta; Lepidoptera; Bombycidae.
UCAGAAUACUCACCAAGAAGAUUUUCUA